CCCGAGACCUACGCCAAGCUGCAUGCCACAUUCCCGGCUCCUGCAGUGGACAUGGAUAGGGUCCUUAUAAACCAAAGGGGGUCACCAGAGUACAAAAACCAACAACACACAGGAGUGAACUCCAAUCCCAGCCUGCCCCCCCCCCCCCCCCCUCUCCAAAAAAAAAAAACUUAAACCCAAACAAAGAGAAAGCAAGACUGGUUUGGAUUGCUUGGUCUGAAAAGACAUUUCCUUUUCUUGUCGUGACGUUGCGAAAGCGUUGAGCGGCUGACUGACUGUGAGGACUGACGCGGUGCGUUCAGAUGUGCAUUUGAGCUUUUUGGUUCGUUUGGGUUUUUUCACCCCAUCGUUUGAUCGUAUGUCAAAGUUUUUGUUUUCCUUCCAUAUUUGUUUGCUCUCUCUGGCCAGGGAGGUGGAAGCCACCCGCACGCUUUUUCGGUGUCCUCUUUAAGGGCACCCUGGCUACCACCCUGGCUACCACCCUGCUACACUCUCUCCUCCUUACAUUCCCCUCAGUCCUGUCACCCCCGAUACAUCUCCUCCAGCACGUUCAGUUCUCAGAUCCCACAGCCACCAUUACCCAACAGCACCACCCCCACCCCACUCCCCUUCUUCUUUCCUCCCUGGAGUCCCUCCAUUCCUGAACUCUGUCCAGAGGCAGUGGGGGAAGCUUUGCCUAGCGGAGGUUGCACUUGCGUUGGUAGCGUUUUUUUUGUUUUGUUUUUGUGUUUGUUUGUUUGCUUUUUUUCUUUUACGUUCAGGGAUUACCAUUGUACAGGACUCCAGAGAUCCCGCUCGACCCUGGUGAUGGAACAAUGGACCGAUUCCAGCAGUGAAUAAUAGCAAACGGCGAUUACGAGGAGGAGGGCUGUGUUUGAGGGGGGCUAACGGCGCUGCCCUCAGCAGACCCGGACGCUGCCAUGGAGGGCGCCUACAGCCAACGAGAGGCUGGUGGAAAUGCAUAACUGUGCUCAUCCACCCACCACUCCCCCUUGUGGCCGAUGAGGGUACUGCACACCGCAGCUCUCUGUGCCAACCCAUCUCGUCACUCUUCCACUGCGUCGCCUCUCAGAUCAUCACCACCACCAUUUGUCAAGUUGCCUAUUUUUUCGCAAUAAAUAAAUGAGUAUAAAGUAGAUGGUGAAAAAAUAUUUUUAAAAAGCGAUAUUUAAAUCAUUUAAAGAGUAAAAAAAAAAAUAAACAAAGAAUUUCUCUGGUGUUGUGACAGUGACUGAAUUGUGUUCUUGUCUGUUAGAGAUGUUUUUAUUUCUUUUGUAAUUAUUAUUAUUAUUAUCAUUAUUAUUAGUACUAUUAUUAUUAGUUAUUUUUCACUUGGUUGUCACCUCGGCCCCCUCUCAUACAUGAACAGUGCUGCUCUGUUUGGACUUGUGUGAUGGUGAUGAAAUUGAUCAAACAUUUUUGCAAUAAUAGUAAUGAUGAUGAAUUUUUUGCACCAAAAGCUCUUGAUCUCACUCAUUCAGCCAUGCUGACUGUUCUUCCUGACAUCUGACAGAAUUGCGUCUCUUCUUGUCUGUGUUUUUCAUUGACAGAUUUAAUAAAAUUGUAAAUUAA
This is a long non-coding RNA of Clupea harengus (Atlantic herring), 1572 nucleotides long. Lineage: Eukaryota; Metazoa; Chordata; Actinopteri; Clupeiformes; Clupeidae. The record is from Ensembl.